This 2001-nucleotide long non-coding RNA is filed under the name Trifolium pratense (red clover). Its description in RNAcentral is "long non-coding RNA (TPRA_LNC007148)". Lineage: Eukaryota; Viridiplantae; Streptophyta; Magnoliopsida; Fabales; Fabaceae. The record is from RNAcentral.
AUAUGUACGACAUAUAUAUCAACAGAGACACAAACUCAGCAGAUACCACACAAAUGACCAUUAAUUACAGAAUCGAUGAAUUUAAAUUUAUCAAGGAAAAUAAUUCCUAGCCACCGUACCUUUCUCAGUGCUGUGACUUUGGCAGCAAAACAAAUAUCUGCAACAAUUUUGGAAAGAAAAAAAAAACACAAAUUAGUGAAAACUAAUUACUAAUUACCAAUUCCACAUAAACACCAAGGUCCAAGAACAUAUCAGUUAUCACCAAACACAUACUCGUACAAACCAAAAAAGGAUUAAGAAACAUUAAAACAACACCGAAAAAUUAAACAUUCCCUUCCAAUUAAUAAUUCAUACACCAAAUUCAAGGCUUUAACCUUCAAAAAAACUAUUCCAUUUAAUUUUCGACUUGCUCAACCCAAUAAAAAAUCAAUAUUGGGAAAAAACCCAAAUAUACCUACAAAAAAACUAUUCCAUUUAAUUUUCGACUUUCUCAAACCAAUAAAAAAAUCCAUCUUGGGAUAAAAACGAAACAUACCUUCAAAAAAAAUAUUCCAUUUGAUUUUUGAUUUUCUCAAACCAAUAAAAAAUCCAUCUUGGGAAAAAACAUAAAUAUACCUUCAAAAAAUUAUUCCAUUUAAUUUUUGAAUUUCUCAAAAAUCCAUCUUGGGAAAAAACCUAAAUAUGAAAUAAAACUGUGUGUUCCAUUUAGUGAGGAAAGGUGUCAUAGUGAGUGUGUUUCAUGGAAAAGGAAAACAAAACAAAUCACUGUGUUUCAUUUAGUGAGGAAACAAAACUGUGCGUUUUGCUAGAAAAAAACAGUACAAAGCCAAACGCUGCGUUUUACUUUAUUCAGGAAAACAAUAGCGCCGUGUUUCAUGUUUUGACAAAAUAGGGUUUCCAAUUUCCUAACCGGGUCGUGAAACCCUACCCGAGUCAAACAUGCGGGUCUUCUCUGCUUCUAGGAUCGAGCCGCACCCUAAUACCACAAUUUUGCAAUUCAGAACGCCGAUCCUCUUCUCCGGCGAUUCUGAGCACAAUUCUGCUCGCUCAUGCAUGGGAAAAUCGUGCAACUUGUACGAUUCACCAAGUUGACUCCCGAUUUUAAUAACAUUGAACCAAAGUACUUGUUUAAGUAAACAGAAACGAAAAAAAUUAAAAAUCAACAGACAUAACAAACUCGGCAGAUUUCAUACACAUAGCCAUUAAUUCAACAGACACCAGAUAUCACACACAUAGCCAUUAAUUCAAUAGACACAUACUCGGAAGAUAUCACACACAUAGCCAUUAAUUACAGAAUCAAUAAACUAAAAUUUAAGCCGAAAAUAAUUUCUAGUCGCCAUACCUCUUUUGGUGCUGUUAACUUUGGCAGCAAAACAAAUACCUGUAACAAUUUAAAACACAAAUCAUUGGAAGAAAAAAAAAGACUAAUUCAAUAUAAAAACCUAAAAAAGGAUUAAAAAACAUACAAUACCAAAGAAUUAAGCAUUCCCUUUAAUUAACACUAACAAAAUAUUACUUAUAUAAAAACCUAAGCAAAUACUAGUACUUAUAUAAAAACCUAAAAAGGAAAAAAUUAAAACAUUAAAACAACACCAAAAAAUCAAACUGUCCCCUUCCAAUUAAUAAUCCAUACACCAAAUUCAAGGGUUUAACCUUAAAAAAAAAUAAAAAAAAUCCAUUUAAUUUUUCUCCUCCCCCUCCCAAAAAAAAAAACAUAAACACACAAUCCUAGGGUUUAAAAUUUCACAUAAGAAAAAAAAAAUCCAAUUUUUCUCCUCCACCAUUAUAUUUUUUCUUUUAUUUUUCAAAAACCAAUUAAAAAAAACGCCCACAGAAAAAUCCCUAAUAUGGUUUGAUCUAAAAAAAAAUUACAUAAAAAAAUUAGAAAAGUGAUGCUUAGAAAAAAGGGAAAGAGAUUAAUUACAGUGUUGGGAGGUUGAAACUGGGAUUGCGUUGAGAUAAUUAUAAUUCGGUUUUGUUGAGAAGCGAUAAGAAGAANNN